CCCCUCGGCGCGCCCCGGGCCGGCCUCCCCACGCGCCCCUCGCCAUGGCAGCGCCCAGGCGCCUCCUCAUCCGCGGGGGCCGCGUGGUCAACGACGACGCCUCGCAGGUGGCCGACGUGCUGGUGGAGGACGGCGUGGUGCGCGCGCUGGGGCGCGACCUGCAGCCUCCUCCGGGGGACGCCGCCGGGGGGCUGCGGGUGCUCGAGGCCUCGGGCAAGCUCGUCCUGCCCGGCGGCAUCGACACGCACACGCACAUGCAGUUCCCCUUCAUGGGCUCCAGGUCUGUGGAUGAUUUCCACCAGGGCACCAAGGCUGCUCUGGCAGGAGGCACCACCAUGAUUAUGGAUUUCGCCAUUCCUCAGAAAGGCAGCUCCCUCCUCGGGGCAUUUGAGACCUGGCGGAGCUGGGCUGACCCCAAAGUCUGCUGUGACUACAGCUUGCACGUGGCCGUGACGUGGUGGAGUGACCAGGUGAAAGAAGAAAUGACUAUCCUUGCCCGAGAUAAAGGUGUUAACUCUUUCAAGAUGUUCAUGGCUUAUAAAGAUGUGUAUAUGGUGGGGGACUCGGAGCUGUAUGCAGCCUUCUCCCAGUGCAAGAAAAUUGGAGCAAUUGCCCAGGUCCAUGCAGAAAAUGGAGACUUAAUCGCAGAGGGAGCAAAGAAGAUGCUGGCCUUGGGGAUAACCGGCCCAGAGGGCCAUGAGCUGUGCCGCCCGGAAGCAGUGGAGGCAGAGGCCACAAUGAGAGCCAUCACCAUAGCCGGUGCUGUGAAUUGCCCCCUCUACAUUGUGCACGUGAUGAGCAAAUCUGCAGCCAAGGUGAUAGCAGAUGCUAGGAGAGAUGGGAUGGUGGUCUAUGGAGAACCCAUAGCAGCAGGUCUUGGCACUGAUGGAACCCACUACUGGAAUAAAGAAUGGCAUCAUGCAGCCCACUAUGUCAUGGGCCCACCCCUGCGACCGGACCCUUCCACACCUGGCUUUCUCAUGAACCUCCUGGCUAAUGAUGAUCUGUCCACAACGGGAACUGACAACUGCACUUUCAACACCUGCCAGAAAGCUCUUGGGAAGGAUGACUUUACUAAGAUUCCCAAUGGGGUGAAUGGUGUUGAGGACCGGAUGUCAGUUAUAUGGGAAAAAGGCGUGCACAGUGGUAAGAUGGAUGAAAACCGCUUUGUGGCAGUUACCAGUACAAAUGCAGCCAAAAUCUUUAAUCUUUAUCCAAGAAAAGGAAGAAUUGCUGUAGGGUCAGAUGCUGACAUUGUGAUUUGGGAUCCAAAAGCCACAAGGACGAUCUCAGCCAAAACUCAUCAUCAGGCUGUUAACUUCAACAUCUUUGAGGGCAUGGUCUGCCAUGGGGUGCCUCUUGUGACUAUCUCCAGAGGCAAAGUGGUGUACGAAGCUGGAGUUUUCAAUGUCAUGGCAGGAGAUGGGAAGUUUAUUCCCCGCAAGCCAUUUGCUGAAUAUAUUUACAAACGAAUCAAGCAGCGGGACCAGACUUGCAUGCCUACUCCAGUGGAGCGUGCACCGUAUGAUGGAGAAGUCGUCACAUUGAAAUCCGGAGGGACAAAAGAGGACUCCACAGCCGGGAUCCAGAUGCAGGCUCAUUCUUGAUCUGGGUGCUAUGGGUAAAAUCAGAGCAAAGGAUGCCCAAGUUCCCUUCACAGCCAAACGCUGUGCUGUCAGCCCAUGGAGAGACAGAUCCUGAAAAUCAGGUCCCUUGACAGACCAUACAUAAUUAAAUCAGAGGCUAACAGUAGAAUACCCAAUCAUCACACCUAUGAAUUCCAGGUUUCCAGGAGUUAAAUGGAGUCAUCUUGGAUAAAAGGUGCUCCAUAGACACUUUCCUCCUCUGCCCUUCUCAGCAACCUCAUGUGAGCUGAGAGGAUGAGCGUCUAUUUCUCCCCCUGGAUAAGCAGGUCAAGAGGCAUAUUUAAAACAUGGAUUAAAGUUAGGGCAGUUUUGCUAUCCCAAUAACUGCCCCUCACAUGCGCAGUGAGAUGGGAACAGGCUUGCACAUUUCACAAAGAGCCGUAGAAACACUGUGUACCCCUGUCCUUUGUUUCAAGCACAGAAGAAAGGCAGCUGCUAAGCUGCACCUGAGAGGAAUCUUCUAGCUCCUUCACACUUACAGCUCCUUUCUUUUCUCACUCUUAAAAAAUACCUUCCACUGUUAUCACUCCUCUCCGCUGUGGUUAGCAAUGAAAACACUGGUAGAAUUACUGAUUCCUCUGCCAGGAAAUAAUUCAGUUGCUUUCUUACUCAGAGACAAGUUUCCACUCACCUAGUAAUAUAUAGUGGAAGUGUCACCACCUCCCAGAGGUUUUCUGGGAUUCAACUUCAUGGAGUAAUGUAAGGUAGGUAAUGGAGUCUCUCUUUUGUGGCACACCACUGCAGGGCCCAGCAUAGACACCAGCACAGUACUGGAUACAGCAGGCAAAAUGUGUCUGAGUUCUACAUCCGCAGAUUCCAAACUAUUUGAUCCUGUGGAUCAGAAAAAA
RNA transcript from Perognathus longimembris pacificus (Pacific pocket mouse), 2494 nucleotides. It is a transcript of the gene named dihydropyrimidinase, with no coding region annotated. NCBI's taxonomy places the organism in Eukaryota, Metazoa, Chordata, Mammalia, Rodentia, Heteromyidae. The record is from RefSeq and is a predicted model, not a curated record. The transcript is spliced from 11 exons.